GACGAACGCUGGCGGCGUGCUUAACACAUGCAAGUCGAACGGAAAGGCCCUGCUUUUGUGGGGUGCUCGAGUGGCGAACGGGUGAGUAACACGUGAGUAACCUGCCCUUGACUUUGGGAUAACUUCAGGAAACUGGUGCUAAUACCGGAUAGGAGCUCCUGCUGCAUGGUGGGGGUUGGAAAGUUUCGGCGGUUGGGGAUGGACUCGCGGCUUAUCAGCUUGUUGGUGGGGUAGUGGCUUACCAAGGCUUUGACGGGUAGCCGGCCUGAGAGGGGGACCGGCCACAUUGGGACUGAGAUACGGCCCAGACUCCUACGGGAGGCAGCAGUGGGGAAUAUUGCACAAUGGGCGGAAGCCUGAUGCAGCAACGCCGCGUGCGGGAUGACGGCCUUCGGGUUGUAAAGCGCUGUCGCCUGUGACGAAGCGUGAGUGACGGUAAUGGGUAAAGAAGCACCGGCUAACUACGUG
Molecule: ribosomal RNA, 468 nt
Filed under: uncultured bacterium
Lineage: Bacteria
Description: partial 16S ribosomal RNA
Rfam family: Bacterial small subunit ribosomal RNA
Source: RNAcentral